This 490-nucleotide ribosomal RNA is filed under the name uncultured bacterium. RNAcentral describes it as "partial 16S ribosomal RNA". It matches the Rfam family "Bacterial small subunit ribosomal RNA", at positions 29 to 506 of the family's 1533-position model. The record is from RNAcentral.
AGUGAACGCUGGCGGUAGGCCUAACACAUGCAAGUCGAACGGCAGCACAGUAAGAGCUUGCUCUUACGGGUGGCGAGUGGCGGACGGGUGAGGAAUACAUCGGAAUCUACUUUUCGUGGGGGAUAACGUAGGGAAACUUACGCUAAUACCGCAUACGACCUACGGGUGAAAGCAGGGGAUCUUCGGACCUUGCGCGAUUGAAUGAGCCGAUAUCGGAUUAGCUAGUUGGCGGGGUAAAGGCCCACCAAGGCGACGAUCCGUAGCUGGUCUGAGAGGAUGAUCAGCCACACUGGAACUGAGACACGGUCCAGACUCCUACGGGAGGCAGCAGUGGGUAAUAUUGGACAAUGGGCGCAAGCCUGAUCCAGCCAUACCGCGUGGGUGAAGAAGGCCUUCGGGUUGUAAAGCCCUUUUGUUGGGAAAGAAAAGCAGCAGGUUAAUACCCCGCUGUUCUGACGGUACCCAAAGAAUAAGCACCGGCUAACUUCGU